AAGUGCAGAUGAGGAUCAGAGC
This 22-nucleotide microRNA is filed under the name Marchantia polymorpha subsp. ruderalis. Lineage: Eukaryota; Viridiplantae; Streptophyta; Marchantiopsida; Marchantiales; Marchantiaceae. The record is from RNAcentral.